CGAAAAAAGUGACGCGUAAUUGCAUGCCAUUUUAAACGAUUGGAAAAAGCGUGUGAAAAACUUAAAUAAUGGUCGAUGCUGAUAAUUUAGACAACUUGUCGAAUGCCGAACUGCGUGCUCAAAUGUUGGCACAGGGAUUACCGAAUAUACCCAUCACAGGCAGCGGUCGCACAUAAUGGAAAAUGGAGGCAUUAUGCGCAAUGGAGCUGUCGAAGGCACCAAAUUCGUGCAAGCUGCAGCCCUGUCGCAUUUGAUUUAUGGCUGGUGUAGCCUUUCUGCAUUUUGCUUGGCCCAUAAAUCAGUAUGCAUACAUAUAUUAUAAUAAUGUAACCUUGCGCAUACUACCGGAGUAGUACCCAGAGACAAAUGCUGCGCACACAUUGGAUUUCAACUCAUCUCUGUUCUCAGCCAGUCGUUCUUCACAUAGUGGCCCUGCUCACUGUCGCAUGCUGUGGUGCUCAUUUUGAUAGUCCCGGCCGUAAUGCAUUUUGCACCUACUGCAGCCGCUUAGCUACUCCCACCGCUUCUCACUUGCAUAGGGCGCUCCGUACAUGGAUUACCCCGAAGUCGAGCGUAUGAUAGUAUGUGUCGAUAUGUCGCUGCGGACUACAUGGAUCGGCGGACCCAGCACCAUCAUUGGCGACAUUGCCGGCACCGCCGGUCACGUCCACAGCCUUGGGCGUACAUGGAACAUUGGAACAAAGACGUAAAUCAGCUUGGCAACAAUUUGCAGGCCAAUUAAAGCACUGAAGCAAUAUGCAGCAUCAAAUCGUUGCAUACUUUUGUGGUGUUCGGAAAAGUCUAGCCUUAUAUUUUCGUUGCAUACUUUAGGGCAUACCUAUUAAUUGUCAAAUUCAAAAUCAUUUCAUUAUUCGCAAGCAGGAUCUAUGUCAACUUCCAAACAAGUGUAUAUUAUGUAUAAUACUGUUCUUUGUAAUGAGAAACCAAUAAUAAAUAAAAACUGAACGGCUUUUG
This is a long non-coding RNA of Drosophila novamexicana, 975 nucleotides long. RefSeq lists it as uncharacterized. The record is from RefSeq and is a predicted model, not a curated record. NCBI's taxonomy places the organism in Eukaryota, Metazoa, Arthropoda, Insecta, Diptera, Drosophilidae. The transcript has 5 exons.